This 426-nucleotide long non-coding RNA is filed under the name Lupinus mutabilis. RNAcentral describes it as "partial ncRNA". The record is from RNAcentral. Lineage: Eukaryota; Viridiplantae; Streptophyta; Magnoliopsida; Fabales; Fabaceae.
UGAGAAGAUGAUAUUUCUGGGCUAUCAUUCAACAGGUUCCUAUAGAGUUUAUAAUCCUAGGAAUCAGAAAUUCAUGAUUUCUAAGCAUUUGAAGUUUGCAGAAGAUCAAAGGUGGGUCUGGAAUGAAGAUGAAUCAACAAAGUCUGGUACAUUGACUAGGCUACUCCUUGAUGGACCUAGUAUCACAGAAGCUGUUCCUAAUGUCCAAGAGUUAGAGGCUCCUACUGAUAAUACUCACCAUGAGCUUCAUUCUGAGCCUACUCCACAUAGAAGAAGGAAUGUAUCUACAAGGCUUAGAGAUUAUGAGAUAUUCCGUGACUCACUGGUAAAUAAUGAAGGGGAUUUUGUGCACAUGGCAUUGCUAGCUGAAAUGGAACCAGAAUGCCUAGAUGAUGCACUGAAACUUCACAAUUGGAGAGAAGCUAU